GUUUUUGGGGGACACCUCACAUACAAACCAUAACAGCAGCACAUAUACUAAAAUCGGAAUAAUAAAGAGAAGAUUAGCAUGGGCCCUGCACAAGGAGGACGCACAAACUCAGGAAACAUUUCAUAUUUUU
Molecule: small nuclear RNA, 130 nt
Organism: Spermophilus dauricus (Daurian ground squirrel)
Lineage: Eukaryota; Metazoa; Chordata; Mammalia; Rodentia; Sciuridae
Source: Ensembl